GUUUGAUCCUGGCUCAGGACGAACGCUGGCGGCGUGCCUAAUACAUGCAAGUCGAACGAACUCUGGUAUUGAUUGGUGCUUGCAUCAUGAUUUACAUUUGAGUGAGUGGCGAACUGGUGAGUAACACGUGGGAAACCUGCCCAGAAGCGGGGGAUAACACCUGGAAACAGAUGCUAAUACCGCAUAACAACUUGGACCGCAUGGUCCGAGUUUGAAAGAUGGCUUCGGCUAUCACUUUUGGAUGGUCCCGCGGCGUAUUAGCUAGAUGGUGGGGUAACGGCUCACCAUGGCAAUGAUACGUAGCCGACCUGAGAGGGUAAUCGGCCACAUUGGGACUGAGACACGGCCCAAACUCCUACGGGAGGCAGCAGUAGGGAAUCUUCCACAAUGGACGAAAGUCUGAUGGAGCAACGCCGCGUGAGUGAAGAAGGGUUUCGGCUCGUAAAACUCUGUUGUUAAAGAAGAACAUAUCUGAGAGUAACUGUUCAGGUAUUGACGGUAUUUAACCAGAAAGCCACGGCUAACUACGUGCCAGCAGCCGCGGUAAUACGUAGGUGGCAAGCGUUGUCCGGAUUUAUUGGGCGUAAAGCGAGCGCAGGCGGUUUUUUAAGUCUGAUGUGAAAGCCUUCGGCUCAACCGAAGAAGUGCAUCGGAAACUGGGAAACUUGAGUGCAGAAGAGGACAGUGGAACUCCAUGUGUAGCGGUGAAAUGCGUAGAUAUAUGGAAGAACACCAGUGGCGAAGGCGGCUGUCUGGUCUGUAACUGACGCUGAGGCUCGAAAGUAUGGGUAGCAAACAGGAUUAGAUACCCUGGUAGUCCAUACCGUAAACGAUGAAUGCUAAGUGUUGGAGGGUUUCCGCCCUUCAGUGCUGCAGCUAACGCAUUAAGCAUUCCGCCUGGGGAGUACGGCCGCAAGGCUGAAACUCAAAGGAAUUGACGGGGGCCCGCACAAGCGGUGGAGCAUGUGGUUUAAUUCGAAGCUACGCGAAGAACCUUACCAGGUCUUGACAUACUAUGCAAAUCUAAGAGAUUAGACGUUCCCUUCGGGGACAUGGAUACAGGUGGUGCAUGGUUGUCGUCAGCUCGUGUCGUGAGAUGUUGGGUUAAGUCCCGCAACGAGCGCAACCCUUAUUAUCAGUUGCCAGCAUUAAGUUGGGCACUCUGGUGAGACUGCCGGUGACAAACCGGAGGAAGGUGGGGAUGACGUCAAAUCAUCAUGCCCCUUAUGACCUGGGCUACACACGUGCUACAAUGGAUGGUACAACGAGUUGCGAACUCGCGAGAGUAAGCUAAUCUCUUAAAGCCAUUCUCAGUUCGGAUUGUAGGCUGCAACUCGCCUACAUGAAGUCGGAAUCGCUAGUAAUCGCGGAUCAGCAUGCCGCGGUGAAUACGUUNCCGGGCCUUGUACACACCGCCCGUCACACCAUGAGAGUUUGUAACACCCAAAGUCGGUGG
RNAcentral lists this ribosomal RNA (1456 nucleotides) under Lactiplantibacillus plantarum. Its description in RNAcentral is "partial 16S ribosomal RNA". It matches the Rfam family "Bacterial small subunit ribosomal RNA". The record is from RNAcentral. Lineage: Bacteria; Bacillati; Bacillota; Bacilli; Lactobacillales; Lactobacillaceae.